GAGUUUGAUCCUGGCUCAGGAUGAACGCCGGCGGUGUGCCUAAUACAUGCAAGUCGUACGCACUGGCCCAACUGAUUGAUGGUGCUUGCACCUGAUUGACGAUGGAUCACCAGUGAGUGGCGGACGGGUGAGUAACACGUAGGUAACCUGCCCCGGAGCGGGGGAUAACAUUUGGAAACAGAUGCUAAUACCGCAUAACAACGAAAGCCACAUGGCUUUUGUUUGAAAGAUGGCUUUGGCUAUCACUCUGGGAUGGACCUGCGGUGCAUUAGCUAGUUGGUAAGGUAACGGCUUACCAAGGCGAUGAUGCAUAGCCGAGUUGAGAGACUGAUCGGCCACAAUGGAACUGAGACACGGUCCAUACUCCUACGGGAGGCAGCAGUAGGGAAUCUUCCACAAUGGGCGCAAGCCUGAUGGAGCAACAUCGCGUGAGUGAAGAAGGGUUUCGGCUCGUAAAGCUCUGUUGUUGGAGAAGAACGUGCGUGAGAGUAACUGUUCACGCAGUGACGGUAUCCAACCAGAAAGUCACGGCUAACUACGUGCCAGCAGCCGCGGUAAUACGUAGGUGGCAAGCGUUAUCCGGAUUUAUUGGGCGUAAAGCGAGC
RNAcentral lists this ribosomal RNA (605 nucleotides) under uncultured bacterium. Its description in RNAcentral is "bacterial SSU rRNA". It matches the Rfam family "Bacterial small subunit ribosomal RNA", at positions 9 to 570 of the family's 1533-position model. The record is from RNAcentral.